Molecule: ribosomal RNA, 1953 nt
Filed under: Triticum aestivum (bread wheat)
Lineage: Eukaryota; Viridiplantae; Streptophyta; Magnoliopsida; Poales; Poaceae
Description: partial small subunit ribosomal RNA
Source: RNAcentral
AUGAUGGUUACUGCAGUCAGCCGAUUGCUGGUCAUGCUGCUCACCUUUGGCUGCGCACACGUUACCACCUGCAGCUCCUUGUAUGGAAGCGAGACAGACAUGCUGUCACUGCUUGAGUUCAAGAACUCAAUCAGUCAAGAUCCACAUCAAGCCUUUGCGUCGUGGAACGACAGCACCGACUUCUGUGACUGGGGAGGUGUUCGCUGCAGGAUGAAGAAUCCACGUCGAGUCACUUCUCUUGACCUUCCGUACAAAGGUUUGGUCGGGCAAAUCUCUCCGUCGCUCGGGAACCUAACAUUCCUGAAAUAUCUUGUCCUGUCGGACAACCGCUUCACCGCCGAGAUUCCUCCUUCCCUUGGUCAUCUUCGUCGCCUCCGGUAUCUCUACCUUAGUAAUAACACACUGCAAGGAGGCAUACCGAGUUUUGCGAAUUGUUCCAGUCUUGAGGAGAUACUGCUCAACGGCAAUAGUUUAGCUGGGAAGAUUCCUGCGGAUUGGCCUCCUAACCUUCAGUACAUGAGCCUUUCGGCUAAUAAUCUUGCUGGAACCAUCCCUGCCUCUCUUGCCAAUCUCACAAUGCUUAAAGAUUUCAGGAUCCUUUACAACAAGAUCGAGGGUGACAUACCGGAUGAGUUUGCAAAGUUAGAUGGUCUGCAGGGCUUGUUCGUCACAGCCAAUCGGUUGGCAGGUCGAUUUCCACAGGCCAUCUUGAAUCUUUCUACUCUCGUUGGUCUCAGCCUUGUUUCUAACAGUUUCAGAGGAGAGCUGCCUUCCAAUCUCGGUAACAGUCUACCAAAUCUCCAGGAACUAUAUUUAGGCGGUAACCUCUUUCAAGGGAAUAUCCCUGUUUCAUUGACAAAUGCUUCCAAGCUAUACCGUGUCGAUAUAUCAGCCAAUAAUUUGACCGGAGUUGUGCCAGGCUCUAUCGGCAAACUAACCAGACUUUCUCAUUUGAAUCUAGAGCUCAAUAAACUCGAAGCACAUGCCAAUAAAGACUGGCAGUUUAUGUAUAGCCUAGCGAAUUGCACUGAGCUACGACUUUUCUCGAUGCAUGGAAACCAUUUAGAAAGCCAUGUACCAGCUUCAUUAGGCAACCUUUCUGUUCACCUCGAAACACUCUACUUGGGAGGAAAUAAAUUGUCAGGGAGUUUUCCCCGUGGCAUAGAAAACUUUCCCAACCUGAUUCGCUUGGGAUUGGAAAGCAAUCAAUUUACUGGGGCAGUUCCGGAAUGGCUCGGGAGUCUCAGGAAUUUGCAGUUGUCUCGACUAGGGGUUCUAUAUCUACAUUCUAACAAGCUUGGUGGUCACAUACCCCCAAGCUUAGGAAGCCUCCAAAUGCUUCAAGCAUUACGCAUUGAUAAAAACGGUUUUAUUGGCAAAGUACCAAAGGAGAUCUUCAGAAUACCAACAAUAUUCGAAAUUGACUUAUCUUUCAACAACCUUGAUGGAGAACUUCCUAGCAACAUUGACAACGCCAAACAACUUACAUAUUUGCACGUUUCAUCCAAUAAACUAUCCGGGGAUAUUCCGCACACACUGGGCAACUGUAGAAGUUUGGAACGAGUUGAACUGGACAUGAACAGUUUUAGUGGAAACAUCCCCACUUCAUUCAGUGAACUGAGUGUCCUAGCAGUAUUGAACUUGUCAUACAAUGGCUUAAGUGGAUCAAUACCGGCGUCUUUUGGGGAUCUUCAGCUUCUUCAAGAAAUCGAUUUGUCAUUUAACCAUCUUGAGGGUGAGGCCCCAGCGAAAGGAAUUUUCAAUAAUGCAGCUGCUGUGAGGAUCCAUGGAAACCAGGGGCUUUGUGGUGGGGCACCGGAGUUACACCUACAUGCAUGUCCUUUUGUGCCUUUGGAUUCAGAUAAGAAGAAGCAAUCUAUUGUGGUGAAGCUAGUGAUUCCAGUAGCAAAUCGUGUUAGUUGUUGCGGCCAUUUAUGCUCUAUUGUUCUGUAG